This 306-nucleotide long non-coding RNA is filed under the name Capsicum annuum. RNAcentral's name for it is "long non-coding RNA (CANN_LNC009113)". The record is from RNAcentral. Lineage: Eukaryota; Viridiplantae; Streptophyta; Magnoliopsida; Solanales; Solanaceae.
UAACCUAAAACUACCCCAACUUCUUUCCCACUAUUCCCCAAUAUCCCACUACACCAUGCACACACAUGCAAUAUAUAUCUACACACGGAAAGAAAAGAAAAGAAAAAAAAAAAACAUACUCCUACUAAACAACUUACAACCUACAACCUACAGCAAUCCAAAAACCCUCUCCAGCAACCAAUAAUAACUACUCCCUCUCAUGUUCCCAAUACCAAUCCAAACAAACAACAUCUAAUACUAUUAUAAGAAUCCAUAUACUCCCUCACUAGACGCGGUUUUCUUCCAGCAACAACAAACAACCAUAUA